RNAcentral lists this ribosomal RNA (531 nucleotides) under uncultured bacterium. RNAcentral's name for it is "bacterial SSU rRNA". It matches the Rfam family "Bacterial small subunit ribosomal RNA", at positions 355 to 902 of the family's 1533-position model. The record is from RNAcentral.
UGGGGAAUCUUGGACAAUGGGGGCAACCCUGAUCCAGCCAUGCCGCGUGAGUGAUGAAGGCCUUAGGGUCGUAAAGCUCUUUCGCCUGUGAAGAUAAUGACGGUAGCAGGUAAAGAAACCCCGGCUAACUCCGUGCCAGCAGCCGCGGUAAUACGGAGGGGGUUAGCGUUGUUCGGAAUUACUGGGCGUAAAGCGCACGUAGGCGGACCAGAAAGUUGGGGGUGAAAUCCCGGGGGCUCAACCCCGGAACUGCCUCCAAAACUAUUGGUCUAGAGUUCGAGAGAGGUGAGUGGAAUUCCAAGUGUAGAGGUGAAAUUCGUAGAUAUUUGGAGGAACACCAGUGGCGAAGGCGGCUCACUGGCUCGAUACUGACGCUGAGGUGCGAAAGUGUGGGGAGCAAACAGGAUUAGAUACCCUGGUAGUCCACACCGUAAAACGAUGAAUGCCAGUCGUCGGGUAGCAUGCUAUUCGGUGACACACCUAACGGAUUAAGCAUUCCGCCUGGGGAGUACGGUCGCAAGAUUAAAACUC